Molecule: ribosomal RNA, 607 nt
Filed under: Cantharellus laevigatus
Lineage: Eukaryota; Fungi; Basidiomycota; Agaricomycetes; Cantharellales; Hydnaceae
Description: partial large subunit ribosomal RNA
Rfam family: Eukaryotic large subunit ribosomal RNA
Source: RNAcentral
AGUAACUGCGAGUGAAGAGGGAAGAGCUCAUCAUUGGAAUCUGGCGGUGUCUUGCACCGUCCGAGUUGUAGAUGAGAUGAGUAGGCCAUCUGGACUGCAUGAUAUCCAAGUACAAUAGGCCGUCAGUGGGACAUCAUAGAGGGUGACAAUCCCGUCUUUGAUAUCAAUGUACGAGUCCUAUACGAUGCCUAUCUCUACAGAGUCGAGUAGUUUGGGAUUUGCUGCUCUAAUGUGGGAGGUAGAUUCCUUCUAAAGCUAAAUAUUGGCAAGAGACCGAUAGAGAACAAGUACCGCAAGGGAAAGAUGAAAUAGAACUCUGUAAAGGGAGUCAAAAGUCGUGAAAUUGUUGCGAGAGAAGCGAUUCAAGUCAGCUUAGCUAGGCCCAUCAAGCUACCAUACUUUGGACUAGCUUUGCCAGCAGUCUUAUCCUUUAGCGGUUUGACUCCUCCCAGGUUUUCAUCCUGUGUGCUGGUGGAAUGGCUUGCAAUCGACCCGUCUUGAAACACGGACCAAGGAGUCUAACAUGUAUGCGAGUAUAAGGGUGACAAACCCGUAUGCGCAAUGAAAGUAACUUUCGGUGAUUGCUGAAUGACCUGACGACCAUGCA